AUUCACUUCAUGUGGAAAGCUUUGCGAAGUUCGUCUCGCUGGCUGUUAUUUUCGACAUUUUUUCCUAAAUUUGAUCCCCUAAUAUGGUCCUGAUGAAAAUUUCAGCUCGCAGUAUAGCAAGAUGAGAAAUUCGAGCUAUUAAAACCCGGUCUCCUUGAAAAAGAUUAUUGUCGAAAUUUUCAAUCCAUGGAAAUUUCGAUUUUAACCUAGAGGAGGGAUCUCCGGGGACAAAUGGCUUGAAGAUUAUCAGCUUGCUGGGGUCGUCUUAUCGAAUUUAUUGGUAUUCUCCUCAUGUGUGGUGCCAUCGUAUGGUAGUUCUUUUUGGAGAAAAUUUGACGAAGUCAAUUUUGGCUAUUUGCUACAGUUUUUUCGGAAUAUGCUCCUUGUAUUGAUGAUUUAUACUUGGAGAAGAAGCUCCAGGUACAGCAAUAUAGAGAAAUUCAAGCCACUAAAUCCGGUCUCCUUGUAAAAGGUUAUUUUCCAAAUUUUCAUUUUAUGGAAAUUUUGAUUUUAACUCAGAGGAGGGAUCUCUGGAAACAAAUGGCUUGAAGAUUAUCAUCUUGCUGGGAUCGUCUUUGUUGGAGGAAAUUCGUGGAAAAUCUGUAUGGUGCCACUCUUUCUGGAGAAAACUGGACGAACUCAAUGUCCUUGUGUUAUUAUUUGCGAAAUUUUUACCUGAAUAUGCUCCUCGUAUGGAUGACUUAUACUUGGCAAAAAGGCUCUAGGUACAGCAAGUAGAGAAAUUCGAGUUAUUAAAAUCCGGUCUCCUUAAAAAAAGGUUAUUGUCGGAAUUUUCAAUCCAUGGAAAUUUCGAUUCUAACCCUGAGGAGGGAUCUCUGGAGACGAAUGACUUGAAGAUUAUCAUCUUGCUGGGGUCGUCUUUGUUGGAGGGAAUUCAUGGAAGUUUAAAAUUGUGUGUGUCAAGUGCGAAAUUCAGAAGAACACGAAUGAUGAAGGAUUAAGAAUUUGUUGAAGAGGAAAAACGAAAUUUUUUUCAAUUUAUGGAUACGUUAUACCUGUGUCAAGAGGAUGAUUUAAAAGAAGAGGAAGGAUGAAAGAUUAAGAAUUUUGAAGAGGAAAAACGGCUGACUGUGUGAUGUCUUUACUACUUGACUAUAAAGGAGGAUGGGAGGAUCUAUGAGCAAUGCGGCGUAUAGCUCUUCAACAUUUUCGACGCGGGAAUGAUUGGUGAGUCUUUUUUAAAAUUAAACAAUAUAGU
Long non-coding RNA from Leptopilina boulardi, 1219 nucleotides. RefSeq lists it as uncharacterized. The record is from RefSeq and is a predicted model, not a curated record. NCBI's taxonomy places the organism in Eukaryota, Metazoa, Arthropoda, Insecta, Hymenoptera, Figitidae. The transcript is spliced from 7 exons.